This 85-nucleotide transfer RNA is filed under the name Leisingera daeponensis. RNAcentral describes it as "tRNA-Leu". It matches the Rfam family "tRNA". From Rfam's summary of the family: Transfer RNA (tRNA) molecules are approximately 80 nucleotides in length. Their secondary structure includes four short double-helical elements and three loops (D, anti-codon, and T loops). Further hydrogen bonds mediate the characteristic L-shaped molecular structure. tRNAs have two regions of fundamental functional importance: the anti-codon, which is responsible for specific mRNA codon recognition, and the 3' end, to which the tRNAs corresponding amino acid is attached (by aminoacyl-tRNA synthetases). tRNAs cope with the degeneracy of the genetic code in two manners: having more than one tRNA (with a specific anti-codon) for a particular amino acid; and 'wobble' base-pairing, i.e. permitting non-standard base-pairing at the 3rd anti-codon position. Lineage: Bacteria; Pseudomonadati; Pseudomonadota; Alphaproteobacteria; Rhodobacterales; Roseobacteraceae. The record is from RNAcentral. RNAcentral also lists the same sequence under 3 other names.
GCGGGUGUGGCGGAAUUGGUAGACGCACCAGAUUUAGGUUCUGGCGCCGCAAGGCGUGGAGGUUCAAGUCCUCUCACCCGCACCA